This 660-nucleotide ribosomal RNA is filed under the name uncultured Bacteroidales bacterium. Its description in RNAcentral is "bacterial SSU rRNA". It matches the Rfam family "Bacterial small subunit ribosomal RNA", at positions 69 to 719 of the family's 1533-position model. The record is from RNAcentral. Lineage: Bacteria; Pseudomonadati; Bacteroidota; Bacteroidia; Bacteroidales.
GCAUGGUCUUAGCUUGCUAAGGCUGAUGGCGACCGGCGCACGGGUGAGUAACACGUAUCCAACCUGCCGUCUACUCUUGGCCAGCCUUCUGAAAGGAAGAUUAAUCCAGGAUGGGAUCAUGAGUUCACAUGUCCGCAUGAUUAAAGGUAUUUUCCGGUAGACGAUGGGGAUGCGUUCCAUUAGAUAGUAGGCGGGGUAACGGCCCACCUAGUCAACGAUGGAUAGGGGUUCUGAGAGGAAGGUCCCCCACAUUGGAACUGAGACACGGUCCAAACUCCUACGGGAGGCAGCAGUGAGGAAUAUUGGUCAAUGGGCGAUGGCCUGAACCAGCCAAGUAGCGUGAAGGAUGACUGCCCUAUGGGUUGUAAACUUCUUUUAUAAAGGAAUAAAGUCGGGUAUGCAUACCCGUUUGCAUGUACUUUAUGAAUAAGGAUCGGCUAACUCCGUGCCAGCAGCCGCGGUAAUACGGAGGAUCCGAGCGUUAUCCGGAUUUAUUGGGUUUAAAGGGAGCGUAGAUGGAUGUUUAAGUCAGUUGUGAAAGUUUGCGGCUCAACCGUAAAAUUGCAGUUGAUACUGGAUGUCUUGAGUGCAGUUGAGGCAGGCGGAAUUCGUGGUGUAGCGGUGAAAUGCUUAGAUAUCACGAAGAACUCCGAUUGCGAA